GAUGAACGCUGACAGAAUGCUUAACACAUGCAAGUCGAUGGGGAAGUGGUGCUUGCACCAUGGCAACCAUGGCGGACGGGUGAGUAACGCGUAAGGGACUUACCUGCAGGACUGGGAUAACAGGGGGAAGCUCCUGACAAGACCGGAUAAUGUCAUGGAGCUGCAUGGCUUUAUGAUGAAAGGAGACGCCUGCGGAGAGCCUUGCGUCCUAUUAGCUAGUUGGUGAGGUAAUGGCUCACCAAGGCGAAGAUAGGUAGCCGGCCUGAGAGGGUGGACGGCCACAAGGGGACUGAGAUACGGCCCUUACUCCUACGGGAGGCAGCAGUGGGGAAUAUUGGACAAUGGGGGCAACCCUGAUCCAGCAAUUCUGUGUGCACGAAGAAGGUUUUCGGAUUGUAAAGUGCUUUCAGCAGGGAAGAAGUAAGUGACGGUACCUGCAGAAGAAGCGACGGCUAAAUACGUG
Molecule: ribosomal RNA, 463 nt
Filed under: uncultured bacterium
Lineage: Bacteria
Description: partial 16S ribosomal RNA
Rfam family: Bacterial small subunit ribosomal RNA
Source: RNAcentral